UUAGUGGACAGUGGCAGACGGGUGAGUAACGCGUGGGAAUCUACCUUUGAGUGGGGAAUAACAAUUAGAAAUGAUUGCUAAUACCGCAUACACCCUCCGGGGGAAAGGCUUCGGCCGCUCUUAGAUGAGCCCGCGUACGAUUAGUUUGUUGGUGAGGUAAAGGCUCACUAAGACUACGAUCGUUAGCUGGUUUGAGAGGAUGAUCAGCCACACUGGGACUGAGACACGGCCCAGACUCCUACGGGAGGCAGCAGUGGGGAAUAUUGGACAAUGGGCGAAAGCCUGAUCCAGCCAUGCCGCGUGAGUGAAGAAGGCCUUAGGGUUGUAAAACUCUUUCGACAGGGAAGAUAAUGACGGUACCUGUAUAAGAAGCUCCGGCUAACUCCGUGCCAGCAGCCGCGGUAAUACGGAGGGGGCAAGCGUUGCUCGGAAUUACUGGGCGUAAAGCGAGCGUAGGCGGUUAGUCAAGUUGGUGGUGAAAGCCCGGAGCUCAACUCCGGAACUGCCAUCAAAACUGACUUACUUGAGAUUGGUAGAGGAAAAUGGAAUUCCUAGUGUAGAGGUGAAAUUCGUAGAUAUUGGGAAGAACAUCGGUGGCGAAGGCGAUUUUCUGGGCCAUAUCUGACGCUGAGGUUCGAAAGCGUGGGUAG
This 650-nucleotide ribosomal RNA is filed under the name uncultured marine bacterium. RNAcentral describes it as "bacterial SSU rRNA". It matches the Rfam family "Bacterial small subunit ribosomal RNA", at positions 85 to 768 of the family's 1533-position model. The record is from RNAcentral.